Molecule: small nuclear RNA, 191 nt
Organism: Meriones unguiculatus (Mongolian gerbil)
Lineage: Eukaryota; Metazoa; Chordata; Mammalia; Rodentia; Muridae
Gene: U2
Rfam family: U2 spliceosomal RNA
About the family: U2 is a small nuclear RNA (snRNA) component of the spliceosome (involved in pre-mRNA splicing). Complementary binding between U2 snRNA (in an area lying towards the 5' end but 3' to hairpin I) and the branchpoint sequence (BPS) of the intron results the bulging out of an unpaired adenosine, on the BPS, which initiates a nucleophilic attack at the intronic 5' splice site, thus starting the first of two transesterification reactions that mediate splicing.
Source: Ensembl
AAACACUCUUGGCCUUUUGACUCAGAUCAAGUGUAGUAUCUGCUCUUAUCAGUUUAAUAUCUGAUAUGUCCUCCUUCUGAGGACAGUAAAUAAAUAAAAUGACUUUCUGGAGGUGGGAGAUGGAGCAGAAGCUUGUUCCAUCCACUCUGCCUUCAACCUGACCUGGUAGUCUAAUCAGGAAAAAAACUUAG